RNAcentral lists this non-coding RNA (21 nucleotides) under Arabidopsis thaliana (thale cress). Lineage: Eukaryota; Viridiplantae; Streptophyta; Magnoliopsida; Brassicales; Brassicaceae. The record is from RNAcentral.
CGGGCUUUUGAUACGCUUGUG